GAUGAACGCUGGCGGCGUGCUUAACACAUGCAAGUCGAACGAACAGGCGCUUCGCUUGCUCCUCUGUCUUUAGCGGCGGCCGGGUGAGUAACAAGUGGAUACUCUCCUUCUCCGUCUUGGAUCAUAACGGCACACAGGAGCUACUACCAGAUGAUAUCUUGCUUCGCAUGGUUCAUUAGUCAGAGACGGUUUUUCUUUCUCUUCUCGAUGGAUCCGCGCCGCAUUAGCUAGUUGGUAAGGUAACGGCGUACCAAGGCGACGAUGCGUAGCCGACCUGAGAGGAGGGUCGGCCACACUGGAGGUGAGACGCGGUCCAGACGCCUACGGGAGGCAGCAGUAGGGAAUCUUCCGCAAUGGGCGAAAGCCUGACGGAGCAACGCCGCGUGAGUGAUGAAGGUCGUCGGAUCGUAAAACUCUUUUAUGAGGGGAGAACAAAUGUGGAAUUAACUAUGCACGGCUUGACGGUACCUAGUCAGAAAGCCACGGCUAACUACGUG
This 497-nucleotide ribosomal RNA is filed under the name uncultured bacterium. RNAcentral's name for it is "partial 16S ribosomal RNA". It matches the Rfam family "Bacterial small subunit ribosomal RNA", at positions 28 to 507 of the family's 1533-position model. The record is from RNAcentral.